Molecule: long non-coding RNA, 709 nt
Filed under: Trifolium pratense (red clover)
Lineage: Eukaryota; Viridiplantae; Streptophyta; Magnoliopsida; Fabales; Fabaceae
Description: long non-coding RNA (TPRA_LNC011927)
Source: RNAcentral
AGAAAACUGGGAAUUGUUCCUGUUCCUGCUGUUCCUUAACGGAAUGCUUUCAGAGCUGAUUAAUUGUAUUUAUUUUUCUGGUUUAGCUAGUGGUAGAAUAGUAUUACAAUAGAAAUUUGGAAUACUAGUAUUUUGUUUUAAGGUUUACAAUUUUGAUUUUGAAAUAGAAAGAAAGUUUUGUUGGAAGGAAGCUUUAAUAGGUGGAGAAAGUGUUUAAGUAUUUGAGAGAGGAUAUGAAACUUGUUGGAAAGGAAUGCUACUUAUAUUAUUGAGUGUUUGUAAUUUUUGGCUUGAUACAAACUCAAGUUCAUCACCUCUAUUUAUACUAGUGGCAUCCCUAAAUCAAUGACUAGGAUUUUGCUACCACAAAGUUGAUCUAAUGGCUAUAAACUACUCUCUAGAAUUUUCCCUACCAUUCUACAUAAAUCUUAACUUAUCCUUAUUUUCUAGAGAGCUCCAUGGAUUUCUCUAGAAUAGGCUUCUAGAAAUUGGACUUUCUACAUCACUAAUUUGGGCUUAAAACUCCCAAGGCCCAAAACUAACAAACCCAAAAUCAAUUUAUAUAUUCAACAAGUUUAUGGUGCUGAUCAAUAGCUAUAACUCUGCUCCAUCUGUUUUUACCAAAGCUCUGCAGAACAACAUUUGCCAUGAUUGUCUUCGUAUUCUACUAUUUGUGUUAAUAUUUCUUUUUGUAACACGGUUUCAAUCA